RNAcentral lists this transfer RNA (83 nucleotides) under Methylacidiphilales bacterium. Its description in RNAcentral is "Candidatus Methylacidiphilales bacterium tRNA-Leu". It matches the Rfam family "tRNA". Rfam says of the family: Transfer RNA (tRNA) molecules are approximately 80 nucleotides in length. Their secondary structure includes four short double-helical elements and three loops (D, anti-codon, and T loops). The record is from RNAcentral. Lineage: Bacteria; Pseudomonadati; Verrucomicrobiota; Methylacidiphilae; Methylacidiphilales.
GCCGGUGUGGCGAAAUGGCAGACGCGAUAGACUCAAAAUCUAUUAUACGCAAGUAUGUGGGGGUUCAAGUCCCUCCACCGGCA